GUCACAAAGCUAGGAAGUAGCAAUUUUCGAAUCAGAUUCUGAGUCUCCUGAUUCCUCCCUUUGGCAUUCUUCUUUCCACUAGAACACUUGGCACCUAUUGUCUCAGAGCCUGAUUGUAGGCACCCCCAACUAAUUUCUGGUAAGUAGAUAUAAUCAUCUCAUCUGUAUUUUACAAGAUGGCGCAUCAGAAUAACCAUCUGUCAUCAAGCGGCUGCAUCUUCUGCUCUCUCUAGAGAUGGAAUAAACACGCCACCAUAGCAAACCAGAAAAAUAAGCAGUGGAGUGAUCCCAAGGACAAUGGGAUCAACUUCUAUUACAACAAAUUCCUUUCCAGUAACCACAGCUGAAUAAUAAAAAUGAUCCCCAAGUCCUAACUGAUGCCCACCCUACCCUCUUGUUUCCCAGCACUAUUGAAUACAAGGAAAUUCUAGAACAACGGAAUUGAGGUUCCUGAGGUGGACAGGAAGUUGCCUACAGCUGUUUCUGUGAAUGUUUUUGGAGAAGAGGAGGUAACUGACAGAAAAGACUUCCAGCAAUCCUCAGCAAGGGAAAGAAAUUGACAGAC
RNAcentral lists this long non-coding RNA (565 nucleotides) under Monodelphis domestica (gray short-tailed opossum). Its description in RNAcentral is "lncRNA (ENSMODG00000044162.1)". The record is from RNAcentral. Lineage: Eukaryota; Metazoa; Chordata; Mammalia; Didelphimorphia; Didelphidae.